Molecule: non-coding RNA, 2388 nt
Organism: Phoenix dactylifera (date palm)
Lineage: Eukaryota; Viridiplantae; Streptophyta; Magnoliopsida; Arecales; Arecaceae
Source: RefSeq, a predicted model, not a curated record
GGGGGGGGGGGGGGGUGGGGGGUGGGGGGUGGUUAAGUUUGAUAGAAUCUCAUCACAUUUAGUUGACACACCACCCUUAAGAGUUAACAAGUUAGAGAGUAAAAAGAGAGCAUAAAAGUUGACAAAACUCCAAACACUGAUGCAGCUAUAUAAACAAUCAAAAUGAAAGUUGAGCGUACAUUGUAGUUGUGACAUCAUGUAAUAAAUUUAUUUAAAGGGGAUGACUUUAACGAAACAUCAAAAUACAAAGUUUAGAUCAUGACCCUUUUUGCAUGUGUAGCAAUUAGAGUUUGUAUUAUAAAAGAAACUCCACCCGAGACAAGUUCAUCUCAAUAGCAUCAGAGACAUAUCAUCAUUAUCAUGCAAACCUUUUAUUAUCAAAUUGGAUCUGACUAUUCUAAGCCUAGAAAACUUCUUAAAAAGUGAAAAGAAUUUAACAACGAACCAUCAACCUAAGCUCAAUCCCUUAAGAUUCUAAGAAUCAAUGGUAAAUCUUGGGAAAGGCAAUUUUAGACAAGAAAGAGACCUACUGUCAAACCUAGCUGGCCCGUGGAUGAGUACCCAGAGCUACCUUGUUUGUUGCAGUCUAAUUUCAUGCAACCUUGGAGUAAGCCACUAAUAUUUCCCUAUAUUUUGAGAUGUUAUUGAUGAAGAGAUGACAAGGUUUGGUUUUCUCUGAGGAUUUGUGUAAUCUACAAAACACAGAAUGUACUAAGUCCAAAUGAGAAACAUAUUCCUAUGAGACAUGCAUAGCACAAUGAAAGAUACAAUCACACUCCAGUUUAAGAUAUCUUCUAGUGAACCUGCAAAUUGCCACCAUCACUCUGGUCCUCAUAGACUACUAAUCUUUUCCUCUCAUAUCUUAAGAUCAAGUGCCUAUAAGCUUCUUACAAAGAGAAAUUCAUACUUUAAUUCAGACAUCGUCACGUAUUCUUUUCUAAGGCAUAUACUACAUAAACUUCUUGAAAUCAUCAUAGUAUUUUACAAGUUUUAUCCAAGUUCCUCAAUUUUGUUACAAUUUGAUGGAAAUGUAUAUGAAAAAGCAAUUGUAAGAUAUGUAGUGAGUUCCUGUUAAUCUAUUAAUUGCUUGAACCAAUGGUGCAUGCAAUAUAGUUCCUUUUUAGUACCCUCAUCAAACUUGGAAUAUUCCCAGCUUCUACAGGAAUUUUCUCUGAAACUUCAUGUGAUUAUCAAAUAAAUCAGAAGUCUUAACUUGCAGCUACAACAAUUUUUUUUAUAUAAAAAAGUCUCAGUCAAUGUCUGAUGUCUGUAUUCCUCUGAUACUUCUCUGUUAUCGAAUCCCAAACACUUGACCUGCAUUCAUUGUAACUUGGAAAGCUAACUAUCGAUGUUCGCUCUAAUUAAUCAUAAAUCCUAACAUUAUAACCCUGAUUAAAGAUUGUAAACAAGUAAUUCAUGGAAGUAUUUGAUGCAGGACUAAAUUGUAUCACAUCCAUAGACUGAAUUUUGCUAAUUUAAAUUCCUUUAAUUGGAGGCUUUAGAUUUGAAAUCAUUAGGGUUUUUUUUUGAAGUCCAAUAAUACCCAAACAAGGUUGUACCAUAAGAUUUUUAAGCCCAUAAUUUUUGGAGGUCAAGAAACAGUCAAUUUAGGUAAGUUAAGAAGUUGGUUAUUUUUCAUGCCAGCGUAGGUGUAGAUAGUGAUGCUACAGUACCUGUGAGAUGUUAGGGUCGGUAGGUAGUUUGUUUUGGAAAUUUUAUUAGGGAUUUGUUUUUAUCUUUCUAAACAAUCCCAAAAGGAUUAAAAUUCAUUAACUUGUGGAUCAACUCUGUAAGUUUGUAAAGAGAGUGGAGAAAAGACAUUCUUUGUGCUCUUCGCUCUCACUCGCUCUUCCCCCUCCUAUAACUCUAAUUCUCUCCUUGUCCUACAUCAAUUUGGUAUCAAAGCCAAAGAAUCCUACCUUUUCUUCCUUCUUCUUCUUGAUCUUAUUUAUAUUUACUUCUUAUUUUCUUUUUGUUUUAUAAUAAUCAUGAAUGAGGACUUGAGUUUCAGAAUUGGUGAUCUUAAUGAGCAGGUCAAAUAUGAGAUCUUUUGCUAGAUGGACAACAAGUUGGCAUCUAUCAAUAAUGAUGUGAUGUCGAUGCAGGUUAAAUUGCAAGCAAUUGCAGUGGCUUUAGGUGUUGAAAAGCUCCCUGAGAUCGAGUUACCAAUCAUGAAUCUUAAAUAUGACAAAGCCAAAGAACUAAUGUGUGAAGAGCCUAAGAUUGAAGUUAUCAUGUGAAGAGUCUAUGAGGAUCCAUCAUGCAGCAAUACCACCAUCUAGGACUUGUUAAUUGAAAAUCCGUUAGUUGAUGAUCCGUUAGACUUCUCAAAGGCAAAAGAUCAAAAUAAUGAAAAUCCAUGUGAGGAGCAUAUAUAGCAAGAUCAAG